CCUACGGGUGGCAGCAGUGGGGAAUAUUGGACAAUGGGCGAAAGCCUGAUCCAGCCAUGCCACGUGUGUGAAGAAGGCCUUCGGGUUGUAAAGCACUUUCAGUGGGGAAGAAAGCCUUGGGGCUAAUACCCUCGAGGAAGGACAUCACCCACAGAAGAAGCACCGGCUAACUCCGUGCCAGCAGCCGCGGUAAUACGGAGGGUGCGAGCGUUAAUCGGAAUUACUGGGCGUAAAGCGCGCGUAGGCGGUCUGAUAAGCCGGUUGUGAAAGCCCCGGGCUCAACCUGGGAACGGCAUCCGGAACUGUCAGGCUAGAGUGCAGGAGAGGAAGGUAGAAUUCCCGGUGUAGCGGUGAAAUGCGUAGAGAUCGGGAGGAAUACCAGUGGCGAAGGCGGCCUUCUGGACUGACACUGACGCUGAGGUGCGAAAGCGUGGGUAGCAAACAGGAUUAGAUACCCCAGUAGUC
RNAcentral lists this ribosomal RNA (465 nucleotides) under Vreelandella stevensii. RNAcentral's name for it is "partial 16S ribosomal RNA". It matches the Rfam family "Bacterial small subunit ribosomal RNA", at positions 338 to 795 of the family's 1533-position model. The record is from RNAcentral. Lineage: Bacteria; Pseudomonadati; Pseudomonadota; Gammaproteobacteria; Oceanospirillales; Halomonadaceae.